RNAcentral lists this transfer RNA (74 nucleotides) under archaeon D22. RNAcentral's name for it is "tRNA-Sec". It matches the Rfam family "tRNA". Rfam says of the family: Transfer RNA (tRNA) molecules are approximately 80 nucleotides in length. Their secondary structure includes four short double-helical elements and three loops (D, anti-codon, and T loops). Further hydrogen bonds mediate the characteristic L-shaped molecular structure. tRNAs have two regions of fundamental functional importance: the anti-codon, which is responsible for specific mRNA codon recognition, and the 3' end, to which the tRNAs corresponding amino acid is attached (by aminoacyl-tRNA synthetases). tRNAs cope with the degeneracy of the genetic code in two manners: having more than one tRNA (with a specific anti-codon) for a particular amino acid; and 'wobble' base-pairing, i.e. permitting non-standard base-pairing at the 3rd anti-codon position. The record is from RNAcentral.
GGGCCUAUAGCAUAGCCUGGAUAGUGCGGUCGGCUUCAAACCGAUUGACAAGGGUUCGAAUCCCUUUGGGCUCA